This 509-nucleotide ribosomal RNA is filed under the name uncultured bacterium. Its description in RNAcentral is "partial 16S ribosomal RNA". It matches the Rfam family "Bacterial small subunit ribosomal RNA", at positions 29 to 507 of the family's 1533-position model. The record is from RNAcentral.
ACGCACGCCGGCGGCGUGCUUAACACAUGCAAGUCGAACGAAGAGCGAUGGAAGCUUGCUUCUAUCAAUCUUAGUGGCGAACGGGUGAGUAACGCGUAAUCAACCUGCCCUUCAGAGGGGGACAACAGUUGGAAACGACUGCUAAUACCGCAUACGAUCUAAUCUCGGCAUCGAGGAUAGAUGAAAGGUGGCCUCUACAUGUAAGCUAUCACUGAAGGAGGGGAUUGCGUCUGAUUAGCUAGUUGGAGGGGUAACGGCCCACCAAGGCGAUGAUCAGUAGCCGGUCUGAGAGGAUGAACGGCCACAUUGGGACUGAGACACGGCCCAGACUCCUACGGGAGGCAGCAGUGGGGAAUCUUCCGCAAUGGACGAAAGUCUGACGGAGCAACGCCGCGUGAGUGAUGACGGCCUUCGGGUUGUAAAGCUCUGUUAAUCGGGACGAAAGGCCUUCUUGCGAACAGUUAGAAGGAUUGACGGUACCGGAAGAGAAAGCCACGGCUAACUACGUG